This 280-nucleotide ribosomal RNA is filed under the name uncultured bacterium. RNAcentral describes it as "partial 16S ribosomal RNA". It matches the Rfam family "Bacterial small subunit ribosomal RNA", at positions 28 to 319 of the family's 1533-position model. The record is from RNAcentral.
GACGAACGCUAGCGGCGUGCCUAAGGUAUGCAAGUCGAACGGGGGCUUCGGCCCUAGUGGCGAACGGUUGAGUAACACGUAGACAACCUGCCUCCAAGCGGGGGAUAACUGCGGGAAACUGCAGCUAAUACCGCAUGUGGUGGGGAAGGGCCUCCUUCCUUUACCAAACGGGCAAUCGGUUUGGAGAUGGGUCUGCGGCCUAUCAGCUAGUUGGUGGGGUAACGGCCUACCAAGGCGACGACGGGUAGCUGGCUGAGAGGAUGACCAGCCAGACGGGGAC